UGGGGAAUUUUGGACAAUGGGGGAAACCCUGAUCCAGCCAUCCCGCGUGUGCGAUGAAGGCCUUCGGGUUGUAAAGCACUUUUGGCAGGAAAGAAACGUCAUGGGUUAAUACCCCGUGAAACUGACGGUACCUGCAGAAUAAGCACCGGCUAACUACGUGCCAGCAGCCGCGGUAAUACGUAGGGUGCAAGAGUUAAUCGGAAUUACUGGGCGUAAAGCGUGCGCAGGCGGUUCGGAAAGAAGAUGUGAAAUCCCAGAGCUCAACUUUGGAACUGCAUUUUUAACUACCGGGCUAGAGUGUGUCAGAGGGAGGUGGAAUUCCGCGUGUAGCAGUGAAAUGCGUAGAUAUGCGGAGGAACACCGAUGGCGAAGGCAGCCUCCUGGGAUAACACUGACGCUCAUGCACGAAAGCGUGGGGAGCAAACAGG
This 428-nucleotide ribosomal RNA is filed under the name Acidobacteriota bacterium. RNAcentral describes it as "Acidobacteria bacterium partial 16S ribosomal RNA". It matches the Rfam family "Bacterial small subunit ribosomal RNA", at positions 355 to 776 of the family's 1533-position model. The record is from RNAcentral. Lineage: Bacteria; Pseudomonadati; Acidobacteriota.